CCUACGGGAGGCAGCAGUAGGGAAUUUUCGGCAAUGGGGGGAACCCUGACCGAGCAACGCCGCGUGAAGGAAGAAGGAAUUCGUUCUGUAAACUUCUGUUAUAAAGGAAGAAAGACGGAUGGAGGAAAUGACAUCCGAGUGACGGUACUCUAUGAGAAAGCCACGGCUAACAACGUGCCAGCAGCCGCGGUAAUACGUAGGUGGCAAGCGUUAUCCGGAAACAUUGGGCGAAACGAGGGGGCAGGCGGCAGCAAAGGACUGUGGGGAAAGACUGAGGCAUAACUUCAGUAAGCCAUAGAAACCGGGCAGCUGGAGUGCAGGAGAGGAUCGUGGAAUUCCAUGUGUAGCGGUGAAAUGCGUAGAUAUAUGGAGGAACACCAGUGGCGAAGGCGACGAUCUGGCCUGCAACUGACGCUCAGUCCCGAAAGCGUGGGGAGCAAAUAGGAUUAGAUACCCCAGUAGUC
RNAcentral lists this ribosomal RNA (464 nucleotides) under uncultured bacterium. Its description in RNAcentral is "partial 16S ribosomal RNA". It matches the Rfam family "Bacterial small subunit ribosomal RNA", at positions 338 to 795 of the family's 1533-position model. The record is from RNAcentral.